AAGGACUUAGGCUAACUAGACCAAAGGCCUUCAAAGCCUUAAGUAGAAGUUAAAAUCUUCUAGCCCUUG
RNAcentral lists this transfer RNA (69 nucleotides) under Pseudohynobius jinfo. RNAcentral describes it as "tRNA-Trp". It matches the Rfam family "tRNA". Rfam says of the family: Transfer RNA (tRNA) molecules are approximately 80 nucleotides in length. Their secondary structure includes four short double-helical elements and three loops (D, anti-codon, and T loops). The record is from RNAcentral. Lineage: Eukaryota; Metazoa; Chordata; Amphibia; Caudata; Hynobiidae.